AGAGUUUGAUCCUGGCUCAGGAUAAACGCUGGCGGCGUGCCUAACACAUGCAAGUCGAACGAUCCCGCAAGGGGAGAGUGGCGGAAGGGUGAGUAACACGUGGGAAUCUACCUCCUCGCAGGGAACAACCUCUCGAAAGAGAGGCUAAUACCCAAAAGGGUCAGAAAUGAUCAGAGUCGAAAGGCGUGAGGAGAGGAGCCCGCGGCCCAUCAGCUAGUUGGUGAGGUAAUGGCUUACCAAGGCUACGACGGGUAGGGGAUCUGAGAGGAUGUCCCCCACACUGGAACUGAAACACGGUCCAGACGCCUACGGGUGGCAGCAGUGAGGAAUAUUGGACAAUGGGCGAAAGCCCGAUCCAGCAACGCCGCGUGGAGGAUGAAGGCCUUCGGGUCGUAAACUUCUUUAGAGGGAGACGAGAAAGGACGGUAUCCCUAGAAUAAGCGACGGCAAACUACGUG
Molecule: ribosomal RNA, 458 nt
Filed under: uncultured bacterium
Lineage: Bacteria
Description: bacterial SSU rRNA
Rfam family: Bacterial small subunit ribosomal RNA
Source: RNAcentral